CAGAGACCUUUUCCCCAAAUAAGGUAACAUUUACAGGUUCCAAGAAUAAGGAGCUAAUAUCUUCUGGCCCAUUUUUUGGUCUACCACAGCAGCUGAAAUUGAGAACCUCCAUAUUAGCUAAAUAAAGAACUAUGUCAAAAGAAAAGCUUUUUUGGAAAAACAAGCAUUUGAGAGGAGUUUGAGUUUUUUGGUUUGUUUUUUAUUGAUGUCUAAUUAACAUACAGUGUUAAAUUAGUUUCAAGUGUACAAUGUAGUGAUUCAGCAAUUGUAUACAUUACCCAGUGCUCAUCAUGAUAAGUGCACUCUAAUUCCCCUUAUUUCACCCUCCUUCCACCCUAAGAGGAGUUUUAACCCAUGGUCUAUGGGCUCUGUAUCUGUGUGCCGAGUGCGGUAACCACUAAAUACAUGUGGCUGCUUAAGUUAGACUUAUUAAAGUUAAAUAAAAUUAUAACUUCAGUUCUUCACUUUUGCCAUUUCAGGUUCUCAAUAGCUUCAUAUGGCCAAUGACUAUCAUAUUGACAGCACAAGAAUCACCGUACAAAGCUCUGAUGGACACCACUGAAUCCUGUAUUUCUAGGUGCAUAUGUGUACUUUUUGGGGACAGGGUCUAACUGAAGACACAGGUUACUGACCUUGACAAAGACUAGCCUGCCCCAUACUUUUGGAAUUGGUACCCAAAAUGUAAAUUUUGUUUUGUUUUGUUUUGUUUUGUUUUGUUUUCAAAAUGUAAAUUUUGAUUUAAUACAUUAAAAAAAAUCCACACUACUCACUUCUUUUGGAAAACUGAAAAAUCUGAGAAUACUGAUUCUGCAUUCCCUCUGGGCAAAUGUCUCUUGGAGCAAAGUAGUUUCUACUUGUGGACACUUAGAGCCUGCUUUCCCCCGUUGCUAAAAAUCCCCAUCUGCCCCCUUCCAGUUCCAUCACCUGCCUGGCUUCUAAUCUGAGACUUUCGGUCUUCAUCUUCUAUCUGAUUCUCAAAGAUGUCCGUGACCCAUAUCACUGCUUCUCAAAGUUGAAUGUGCAGAGGAAUCACUUGAGAAUCUUCUUAAAAUGCAAAUUCUGACUCAGUAAGGUUGAGGUGGGGCCUGAGGUUCUGCAUUUCUAACACAUUCCCAGGUGAUAAUAAUGCUUUGGUUAGCAAGGCUCUCACUGAAUCUCUAGCUAGUUUAUUAUAUCUAGCAACAAGGCAAUGUCUAUUUCCUAGACUAACUUAAUGAAGAACCAAAUUCGAGCUGCUAUAAAGCUGGUCCAAAUAUCAGACAGGCCGGGCACCUGGGUGGCUCAGUCAAGUGUCUGCCUUCAGCUCAGGUCAUGAUCCCAGGGUCCUGGGAUUGAGCCUUAUAUCGGGCUCCUUCCUUGGUAAGGAGUCUACUUCUCCCUCUCCCUCUGAUGCACUCCCCUGCUUAUGUUCUCUUGCUCUCUCCUAUGUUAAAUAAAUAAAAUCUUUAAAAAAGAAAAAAGAAAAAAAAA
This 1470-nucleotide long non-coding RNA is filed under the name Canis lupus familiaris (dog). RNAcentral describes it as "lncRNA (ENSCAFG00000050215.1, ENSCAFG00845006822.1)". The record is from RNAcentral. Lineage: Eukaryota; Metazoa; Chordata; Mammalia; Carnivora; Canidae.